AAUAGAUACCCAGGUAGUCCACGCCGUAAACGAUGAGUGCUAGGUGUCGGGGGUUUCGAUACCCACGGUGCCGAAGUUAACACAUUAAGCACUCCGCCUGGGGAGUACGGUCGCAAGACUGAAACUCAAAGGAAUUGACGGGGACCCGCACAAGCAGUGGAGUAUGUGGUUUAAUUCGAAGCAACGCGAAGAACCUUACCAGGUCUUGACAUCCCCCUGACCGGUCUAGAGAUAGGCCUUCCCUUCGGGGCAGGGGAGACAGGUGGUGCAUGGUUGUCGUCAGCUCGUGUCGUGAGAUGUUGGGUUAAGUCCCGCAACGAGCGCAACCCUUGAUCUUAGUUGCCAGCACUUUGGGUGGGCACUCUAAGAUGACUGCCGGUGACAAACCGGAGGAAGGCGGGGAUGACGUCAAAUCAUCAUGCCCCUUAUGACCUGGGCUACACACGUACUACAAUGGCCGGUACAAAGGGCUGCGAAGCCGCGAGGCGGAGCCAAUCCCAGCAAAGCCGGUCUCAGUUCGGAUUGCAGGCUGCAACUCG
RNAcentral lists this ribosomal RNA (539 nucleotides) under uncultured bacterium. RNAcentral's name for it is "bacterial SSU rRNA". It matches the Rfam family "Bacterial small subunit ribosomal RNA", at positions 777 to 1314 of the family's 1533-position model. The record is from RNAcentral.